RNAcentral lists this ribosomal RNA (403 nucleotides) under uncultured Latescibacterota bacterium. Its description in RNAcentral is "bacterial SSU rRNA". It matches the Rfam family "Bacterial small subunit ribosomal RNA", at positions 981 to 1382 of the family's 1533-position model. Lineage: Bacteria; Pseudomonadati; Candidatus Latescibacterota. The record is from RNAcentral.
UUGACAUGCAGGUGAUCGCCGUUGAAAGACGGUUUCCUCUUCGGAGGCACCUGCACAGGUGCUGCAUGGCUGUCGUCAGCUCGUGUCGUGAGAUGUUGGGUUAAGUCCCGCAACGAGCGCAACCCUUAUCCCCAGUUGCCAUCAGGUAAAGCUGGGAACUCUGGGGAGACUGCCGGUGAUAAACCGGAGGAAGGCGGGGAUGACGUCAAGUCCUCAUGGCCCUUACAUCCCGGGCUACACACGUGCUACAAUGGCAGGUACAGAGGGCUGCAAAGCCGCGAGGUAGAGCGAAUCCCAGAAAACCUGUCUCAGUCCGGAUUGAAGUCUGCAACUCGACUUCAUGAAGGCGGAAUCGCUAGUAACCGCGAAUCAGCAGGUCGCGGUGAAUACGUUCCCGGGCCUU